Molecule: ribosomal RNA, 627 nt
Filed under: uncultured bacterium
Lineage: Bacteria
Description: bacterial SSU rRNA
Rfam family: Bacterial small subunit ribosomal RNA
Source: RNAcentral
CGUGUGUGAAGAAGCUAGUGGUUGUAGGCACUUUAAUGCGACGAGGAUGCUACUGUAGUUCUACCUAGAGAUAGUGGACGUUACUCGCAGAAUUAGCGCCGGCUAACUCUGUGCCAGCAGCCGCGGUAAUACAGAGGGUGCAGCGUUAUCGGAUUUACUGGGCGUAAAGCGCGCGUAGGCGGCUAAUUAGGUCAAAUGUGAAAUCCCCGAGCUUAACUUGGGAAUUGCAUUCGAUACUGGUUAGCUAGAGUGUGGGAGAGGAUGGUAGAAUUCCAGGUGUAGCGGUGAAAUGCGUAGAGAUCUGGAGGAAUACCGAUGGCGAAGGCAGCCAUCUAGCCUAACACUGACGCUGAGGUGCGAAAGCAUGGGGAGCAAACAGGAUUAGAUACCCUGGUAGUCCAUGCCGUAAACGAUGUCUACUAGCCGUUGGGGCCUUUGAGGCUUUAGUGGCGCAGCUAACGCGAUAAGUAGACCGCCUGGGGAGUACGGUCGCAAGACUAAAACUCAAAUGAAUUGACGGGGGCCCGCACAAGCGGUGGAGCAUGUGGUUUAAUUCGAUGCAACGCGAAGAACCUUACCUGGCCUUGACAUAGUAAGAACUUUCCAGAGAUGGAUUGGUGCCUUCGG